GGGUUGUGAGGUUAAGCGACUAAGCGUACACGGUGGAUGCCCUGGCAGUCAGAGGCGAUGAAGGGCGUGCUAAUCUGCGAUAAGCGCCGGUAAGGUGAUAUGAACCGUUAUAACCGGCGAUACCCGAAUGGGGAAACCCAGUGUGAUUCG
This 150-nucleotide ribosomal RNA is filed under the name Salmonella enterica subsp. enterica. RNAcentral describes it as "partial 23S ribosomal RNA". It matches the Rfam family "Bacterial large subunit ribosomal RNA", at positions 1 to 140 of the family's 2925-position model. Lineage: Bacteria; Pseudomonadati; Pseudomonadota; Gammaproteobacteria; Enterobacterales; Enterobacteriaceae. The record is from RNAcentral. RNAcentral also lists the same sequence under 2 other names.